CCAAUAGCGUAUAUUAAAGUUGUUGCAGUUAAAAAGCUCGUAGUUGAAUUUCGGGACCAGUAUGUUGGUCGUGCUUCGGUACGUACUGUCAUUACUGGUUUCUCCCUUCUGAAGAACCUUGAUGUCAUUAAUUUGGUGUCUUGGGGAAUCAGGACUGUUACUUUGAAAAAAUUAGAGUGUUUAAAGCAGGCAUACGCUUGAAUACAUUAGCAUGGAAUAAUGAAAUAGGACGUUUGAUUCUAUUUUGUUGGUUUCUAGGAUCGACGUAAUGAUUAAUAGGGAUAGUUGGGGGCAUUAGUAUUCAAUUGUCAGAGGUGAAAUUCUUGGAUUUAUUGAAGACUAACUACUGCGAAAGCAUUUGCCAAGGAUGUUUUCAUUAAUCAAGAACGAAAGUUAGGGGAUCGAAGACGAUCAGAUACCGUCGUAGUCUUAACCAUAAACUAUGCCGACUAGGGAUCGGAUGAUGUUAUUUUUAAUGACUCAUUCGGCGCCUUACG
RNAcentral lists this ribosomal RNA (497 nucleotides) under uncultured Glomeromycotina. Its description in RNAcentral is "partial small subunit ribosomal RNA". It matches the Rfam family "Eukaryotic small subunit ribosomal RNA", at positions 591 to 1092 of the family's 1831-position model. The record is from RNAcentral. Lineage: Eukaryota; Fungi; Glomeromycota.